This 558-nucleotide ribosomal RNA is filed under the name Schwanniomyces yamadae. Its description in RNAcentral is "LSU rRNA". It matches the Rfam family "Eukaryotic large subunit ribosomal RNA", at positions 66 to 641 of the family's 3401-position model. The record is from RNAcentral. Lineage: Eukaryota; Fungi; Ascomycota; Pichiomycetes; Serinales; Debaryomycetaceae.
CAACAGGGAUUGCCUCAGUAACGGCGAGUGAAGCGGCAAAAGCUCAAAUUUGAAAUCUGGCACCUUCGGUGUCCGAGUUGUAAUUUGAAGAAGGUAACUUUGGAGUUGGCUCUUGUCUAUGUUCCUUGGAACAGGACGUCACAGAGGGUGAGAAUCCCGUGCGAUGAGAUGUCCAAUUCUAUGUAAAGUGCUUUCGAAGAGUCGAGUUGUUUGGGAAUGCAGCUCUAAGUGGGUGGUAAAUUCCAUCUAAAGCUAAAUAUUGGCGAGAGACCGAUAGCGAACAAGUACAGUGAUGGAAAGAUGAAAAGAACUUUGAAAAGAGAGUGAAAAAGUACGUGAAAUUGUUGAAAGGGAAGGGCUUGAGAUCAGACUUGGUAUUUUGCAAGCCUUACCCUCGUGGUGGGGUCCCCUGCAGUUUACUGGGCCAGCAUCGGUUUGGAUGGUGGGAUAAUGACAUUGGAAUGUGGCUCUGCUUCGGUAGAGUGUUAUAGACUUUGUUGAUACCACCUGUCUAGACCGAGGACUGCGUCUUUGACUAGGAUGUGGCAUAAUGAUCUU